RNAcentral lists this ribosomal RNA (235 nucleotides) under uncultured bacterium. RNAcentral describes it as "partial 16S ribosomal RNA". It matches the Rfam family "Bacterial small subunit ribosomal RNA", at positions 118 to 347 of the family's 1533-position model. The record is from RNAcentral.
UGAGUAACCUGCCCUUAACUCUGGGAUAAGCCUGGGAAACUGGGUCUAAUACCGGAUAUGACUCCUCAUCGCAUGGUGGGGAGUGGAAAGCUUUAUUGUGGUUUUGGAUGGACUCGCGGCCUAUCAGCUAGUUGGUGAGGUAACGGCUCACCAAGGCGACGACGGGUAGCUGGUCUGAGAGGAUGGCCAGCCACAUUGGGACUGAGACACGGCCCAGACCUCCGUACGGGAGCAG